Long non-coding RNA from Herpailurus yagouaroundi (jaguarundi), 537 nucleotides. RefSeq lists it as uncharacterized. The transcript is spliced from 3 exons. NCBI's taxonomy places the organism in Eukaryota, Metazoa, Chordata, Mammalia, Carnivora, Felidae. The record is from RefSeq and is a predicted model, not a curated record.
UUGUAUUUUAUUUAUCAAUUGUAUUUAAUUUAUCAAAAAUGUAUUCAGUAACAACCAUGGGCUAUGCCCACAGUUGAACCCAUGUAUCCACGUAAAUGUUGUUUUUUAACUAGUUAUUUUUAUAAGACAGCCUCAUGACUAAUCAAGUAGCAUUUUUAGCUUGAUCUCCUGUGUUAAGUAGUAGGCUCGACUGUAGAAGCCUUUUGGCUGUUUAAAAAUAUCAAAUUCAUUUUCAAAGAAUAAAGAUUUUUUUUCCCCCCAGAAAACAGUGGUUCUGAAAGCAAUCCCAAAGCUGUGUCUUAGGAACAGUGGCUGUAUGAUCUGAUUUUGAAGUAGCUUCCUAGUAUACUUUGAGGUAUACUCUUCAUUUGGAAGAAAAAUUUUUGAUAUAACAAUUUAUUUUCAGUCUCACUAUUUUUAUAGAUACACCUAUUAAGAAUAUACAUCAAGGGGUGCCUGGGUGGCUCAGUCAGUAAAGCAGCCGACUUCAGCUCAGGUCAUGAUCUCACAGUUAGUGAGUUUGAGCCCCGUGUCGGG